CCCGUACCAUCCACGUGGCCCUGCACGAAAUGCCCACCCAUACGGCUCGUUGGCUGUACGGCCCUCUCCAAGUUGACCAGCGACCCGGGCUCCAGCUCUAUAAGAGACGUUUUCCUCAGUGUUUCCGGGGACAACCCAACUGUGAACUCUUCAUUAGUAAAACUGGUUACUGUUAAGCAGGUCCCAUUAACAGCAAUGCUGUCUCCUAGAUUCACACCUUCGAGGACGGUUUUUGCCCGUAUAUUAAGAUCGAAUCCGCCGUCCUGGGUGGUACCCAGGUGUUUGAUUUCGCCCAUUUCUUCGAUGAUGCCGGUGAAUAGGCAUCGGAUGGCAGGUGUUGAAUAAUGAGGUUUGAGUACAGGGUUUAGAGUGGUUUUUGCGGUGAAGAGAGACGGAGCGUAGGAUUUGGACGGUGGAGCGAGCUUGAAAUGAGGUUUGAUGGAGAGGAGAUUGGUGAUUCUUCUUGUUGCUGUUAUUGGGGUAAUUGAGGGGGAGACUUUUGACGUUGUGGCGAGAGAAGCGUGAGAAAAGGAGUGCGACAUUUUCCUUUUUC
Molecule: unclassified non-coding RNA, 553 nt
Filed under: Hevea brasiliensis (rubber tree)
Lineage: Eukaryota; Viridiplantae; Streptophyta; Magnoliopsida; Malpighiales; Euphorbiaceae
Source: RNAcentral